This 268-nucleotide ribosomal RNA is filed under the name uncultured archaeon. Its description in RNAcentral is "partial 16S ribosomal RNA". It matches the Rfam family "Archaeal small subunit ribosomal RNA", at positions 748 to 1006 of the family's 1478-position model. The record is from RNAcentral.
CAGCCGUAAACUAUGCGCGUUAGGUGUACUGGUGACCACGAGUCACCGGGGUGCCGAAGGGAAACCGUGAAACGUGCCGCCUGGGAAGUACGGUCGCAAGGCUGAAACUUAAAGGAAUUGGCGGGGGGAGGCACCACAACGGGUGGGAGCCUGCGGGUUUAAUUUGGACUCAACGCCGGGAAAUACUCACCGGGAUAGGACAGACAAAUGAUAGUCGGGCUGAAGACUCUACUUGAUGAUCUGGAGAGGAGAUGCAUGGCGUCAGUGA